RNAcentral lists this transfer RNA (73 nucleotides) under Candidatus Obscuribacterales bacterium. RNAcentral describes it as "tRNA-Arg". It matches the Rfam family "tRNA". Rfam says of the family: Transfer RNA (tRNA) molecules are approximately 80 nucleotides in length. Their secondary structure includes four short double-helical elements and three loops (D, anti-codon, and T loops). Further hydrogen bonds mediate the characteristic L-shaped molecular structure. tRNAs have two regions of fundamental functional importance: the anti-codon, which is responsible for specific mRNA codon recognition, and the 3' end, to which the tRNAs corresponding amino acid is attached (by aminoacyl-tRNA synthetases). tRNAs cope with the degeneracy of the genetic code in two manners: having more than one tRNA (with a specific anti-codon) for a particular amino acid; and 'wobble' base-pairing, i.e. permitting non-standard base-pairing at the 3rd anti-codon position. The record is from RNAcentral. Lineage: Bacteria; Bacillati; Candidatus Melainabacteria; Candidatus Obscuribacterales.
GCACUCCUGGCUCAAGGGAUAGAGCGUCGGUCUACGAAACCGAAGCGUGCAGGUUCAAGUCCUGCGGGGUGCG